This is a long non-coding RNA of Felis catus (domestic cat), 3161 nucleotides long. RefSeq lists it as uncharacterized. The record is from RefSeq and is a predicted model, not a curated record. Lineage: Eukaryota; Metazoa; Chordata; Mammalia; Carnivora; Felidae. The transcript has 2 exons.
GAACCCCAAGCUCAUGACUUGAGCUAAAGUUGAAUGCUUAACCAACUGAGCCACCGCGGCGCCCCUCAAGGCAAGACUUCUUAACUUGGGGAUUCUGCACUCGUGGAUGGGCAUCAGGGAUCCUAGAACCUUAGGAAAUUGUGGGGCAAAGUUGUAUGUUGCAUGAGCACCUGUGCUUCUUGUCUAGGAGGAGGUACUUCAUAAGAUCCAUUACUUUCUCUAAGCACUCAUGAUCAAAGAAAUAUUGUAGGCCCCCACUGUGAAAGGGAAAAGCCAGCAACAGUCUCAAUGGGGCUUUGCUUGGAGCCAGGAACUGGAAACAGUGUCCUACUGAGAAGCUUUGAGAUUCUGUAGAAGUCAAAACCAAGAGUUUGAGUUCCCCACUGACACGCAGAACUUUCCAGAGAAGUGUCAUCACCGUGGAUCAGCAGAGGCCUGGCUCCGUCAGCCUCUGCCCCGGGAUGGCAGGUUGUCUGGGUUAGCAGGCCCAGCCAGGGAAAGGUUAGGUGAGGCACAUCUCCCUGUAACAGUGUCAGUAGGAAGAGAAUCACUUUUGAGCUUCUGUCCCUGGAGGUUUACAGUGGUAACAGGAAGCUACAAUUUCCAGGCAGAUGACAGCUCUCUGGAAGGAUUUGUACCAUUGUACUUUUAGCCCAACCCAGCAGAGUCACUCAGCAUCAAACAGGCUUGUCAGCGAGGCAGCUUGUGGGCAAGGCCGUGAGAAAACCCUUCAUUUCCUCCCGGUUGUCAAGUCGUUUCAAAGCUUGCCCGGCAGGCCCUGCCAUCAUGGACACCGGCUGGGGUGACGGAGGGCGGGGAAGGCAGCAAUGCCGGUGACGAAAUUGAGGUUUCUGGGCAGAUCCUUUGAUUCACAGAAAAUAGUUGUGCUGGAGGCUGGUCUGGUCAUUAGUGGUGUGUUUUGCAUGAUGAUUCUCUUUGAUUAAAGAGAGACAGAGUCCCGUGUGGAAUAGUCAGGAUUAGGUCUGUCUGCACGUGACGGAAAGUUGAGGACAACAGUGGUUUAAACGUCGUAGACAUUGCUCCCUGUCACGUAAACCCACGCUGGAGCUGAGCAAUCCAGGGUUGGUUUGGCAACUGUGUGCUCAGCAAACCUAGGGACCCACCAAACCUGGGAACCUACUCCAUGACCCAGGAUGGCUCCCUAACCUCCAGUCUGGGGGAAGUGGAAGAGGGGAAGAAAGGACCCCCCUUAUUUUAAGGACAUUUGCUCAGAGGUCUCGUGUCACAAUUCUGUUUGCAUGCCAUUGUCCAGAGCGCACUGACUACUCGUCAACUCAUGUGGUUGGAAUACGGUCUUUAACUCGGGCAUCUAGUGACAUACCGGGGGUCCUGUUUUGUAUACAUAUGGACAACUCGAUGUCUCUCUACACCGUGUCCUCAGAAAAGAUGGAGUGCUUUGAUGCUGUUCAGAUAACUCCAGAGACCUUAGCAAACCUGGAUCUACCUUUAUCUCUUUAGAUGAGGUAGGUCAUUCUUUUCUUGCCUUAGAGAGCAACUUUAUAGAGGUGGUCUCCUUCACUUUUGUCAGUAGGCGUGUGAGAAGCAAGACUUCUUCAUUCACUCAUUCAUUCGUUCACUCGUAUAGGUACUGUCCUGUCAGAGACGAUCAGCCGUUCACCACAUUUAUACUUCCUAUCCAAAGGGGACACUUAUUCCUAGAAAGUGGUCAUCCUCCCGGAGGCUAGAUGUCUCAGCCUCCCGCAUCGAGGUGGGUCCAUAAGACCAGCUUCUGCCAAUGGUAUGUGGACACAGGAGACGCGUCCCUUCGGGGAGGAGGUGGUUAAAAGCUGUCUUCGUCCCCUAGUUUCUUAUCUGCCUCCAGAAGCUGGAGACCCGGAGGCCUCGCAGGUGGCAGAGACACACAUGGAAGGAGCUCGGGCAUCAGAAUCACCCCAGGAAAAGCUGCCCACCAAAUGUCUGCAUGGGACUGUUACGUUCACAAGGACUCCGCUCUCAGCUUGAGCUCCGGGUACAAGAGUGUGCCUCCUGGUGCCUGCUGUAAUACGACCGUUAGGUUGAGAGCUCAGCUCUCACAUCAAAUAGAACUAGAUUCGAAUGCCAUGUGGUGGACUUCCCAGCCACGAGAUGGAGAUUUCAGGUUGUGGGUCUCUCUGCUGAUGGUCAUCAGUGAUUCUGUAUAGCAGAUGUCCCCUUCCCCACCACGUUGUGAUAGGCAGAAUAAUGGCCCCUGAAGAUGUCCCCGUCCCAAUCCCUGGAGACUGUCAAUGUGCUACCUUACAUGGCAAAAAGAAUUUUGCAGCUGUGAUUAGGUUAAGGACUUCGCGAUGGGGAGAUUAUCAUGGAUUACCAAAGUGGGCCCAGUGUAAUCACAAUGGUCCUUAAAGAUGGGAGAAGACAGCGAGUCAGAGAACGAGAUGACAGACAGGUGUUGGAGUGAUAUGACUGCUGGCUUGGAAGACAAAGAAGACCACGAGCCAAGGGGUGCAGGCAGCUUCCACAGCUGGAAAAGGCAAGGAACGGACUCUCCCCUGGAGCCUUUAGAGGGAGCACAGUCCCGCAACAUUUGGUUCCAGCCCAGCGAGACCCACAUCCGACUCGUCUCCUACAGAGCUGUAAAUGGUAAGUUUAUAUGGCUGGUCGUGAAGUUGGCGGUAAUUUGUUACAGCAGCAACGAGAAGCUAAAUCACACCCUCUCCCCAACGCGCUGUGUUGCAAUGUGCCUGUGAAGCUCUUUCCCGAAGUAGGAGGGAAGCUCUGAGAGCGGAGUCACAGUGAAAGAAGACAAGUGGAGCUAACGUGAGCUCACCGUUGCACCCACAGGGAAAGCUGCUUCACGCCCCGGGCUCUCAGGGGGGGUGACCCCACCCUCCGUGGAUCCUCCUCGACUCCUGACCAGACUUUCACCUUUGUUUUGGGUCCUGGAUACCUCAUGGUCCGCCCCUGCCCCAGCCCUUGCCACUGCAGGCUGUGAGCCUGCCAGAUCCUACAGUAGGUGACCUUUAAGUAAGAGCUCCUCUCCUAGAUCCCUAUUGGCAGGGCUCUGGCUUUGAACUUGAGCAGCAGAGGAUUCCGCACUUGGGACGGAAGCUUUGGAAUGUUCCUGCCCCUCCCACCCCUUCCAGACAGCAACGUGAAAGGGCUGCACUGGCUUUUUUUUUUUUUUUUUUUUAGGUGAAAUU